RNAcentral lists this ribosomal RNA (252 nucleotides) under uncultured bacterium. RNAcentral describes it as "partial 16S ribosomal RNA". It matches the Rfam family "Bacterial small subunit ribosomal RNA", at positions 524 to 776 of the family's 1533-position model. The record is from RNAcentral.
UACGUAAGUGGCGAGCUUUAUCCGGAAUUACUGGGCGUAAAGCGUUCGUAGGCGGUGCAGUAAGUUGGGUUUGAAAGCCCGGGGCUCAACUCCGGACCCGGAUCCAAAACUACUGUACUUAGCGUAUCAGGGGGCAGCGGAAUUCCCGGUGUAGCGGUAAUAUGCGUAGAUAUCGGGAGGAACACCAGUGGCGAAGGCGGCUGCCUGGGGUAUUGCUGACGCUGAGGAACGAAGGCCAGGGGAGCGAACGGG